This 252-nucleotide ribosomal RNA is filed under the name uncultured bacterium. Its description in RNAcentral is "partial 16S ribosomal RNA". It matches the Rfam family "Bacterial small subunit ribosomal RNA", at positions 524 to 776 of the family's 1533-position model. The record is from RNAcentral.
UACGUAGGUCCCGAGCGCUGUCCGGAUUUAUUGGGCGUAAAGCGAGCGCAGGUGGUUUAUUAAGUCAGGUGUAAAAGGCAGUGGCUCAACCAUUGUAUGCAUUGGAAACUGGUAGACUUGAGUGCAGGAGAGGAGAGUGGAAUUCCAUGUGUAGCGGUGAAAUGCGUAGAUAUAUGGAGGAACACCGGUGGCGAAAGCGGCUCUCUGGCCUGUAACUGACACUGAGGCUCGAAAGCGUGGGGAGCAAACAGG